GUGAGGAAUAUUGGUCAAUGGACGAGAGUCUGAACCAGCCAAGUCGCGUGAAGGAAGACGGUUCUAUGAAUUGUAAACUUCUUUUGUGCAGGAAUAAAGUGGGUUACGUGUAACCUUUUGUAUGUACUGUACGAAUAAGGAUCGGCUAACUCCGUGCCAGCAGCCGCGGUAAUACGGAGGAUCCGAGCGUUAUCCGGAUUUAUUGGGUUUAAAGGGUGCGUAGGUGGAUUGAUAAGUCAGCGGUGAAAGUUUGCAGCUUAACUGUAAAAUUGCCGUUGAAACUGUCGGUCUUGAGUGCAAAUGAGGUAGGCGGAAUGUGUUGUGUAGCGGUGAAAUGCUUAGAUAUAACACAGAACUCCGAUUGCGAAGGCAGCUUACUGGGAUGCAACUGACACUGAUGCACGAAAGCGUGGGUAUCAAACAGGAUUAGAAACCCGUGUAGUCC
RNAcentral lists this ribosomal RNA (445 nucleotides) under uncultured bacterium. RNAcentral's name for it is "partial 16S ribosomal RNA". It matches the Rfam family "Bacterial small subunit ribosomal RNA", at positions 354 to 796 of the family's 1533-position model. The record is from RNAcentral.